GGAUCUGUACAGCUGUAAGCUGUAUGAGGGGAACAGCUGUAGUAUCGCUUAUCAGGAGCUGCGCCUUGGUCAUGCUGCUAAUCAGAAGUACAUUAUAGCAGGUGCAUUGGGAGGUGCAGGACUUCUUUUUCUAUUAGUAUCAUCUGUGUGUUACAUAUUCUACAAACGAAAUCAUCAAAAGAGGCCGGAAAUAAGCUGUGAACAUACAAUCGUAAAUGCAGUGUAUGACAGUGUUACUGUACCGAAAAGCAAUGACAUAGACGCUUUAGUGUGUGAAAAUCCAAUCUAUGCUACUGCUGGAAACUUAGAGCGGUACAGUACAGUACAGUAAAGAUCUUAUGCUAUAAUGUAUGUAUUUGGAUGCUUUAAUGUUAACAUAGAAUAAAAAUGUAGCAUAAUAUAUUAUUAAUAUGUUAUUAAUUGUAAUAAUUGUUAAAAGAAUGAAUAGUGCUGAAUACCUUAAUUAACUCAAAAAAAUGUAAUGAAUAAUUGUCAAGACUUGGAACUAGUAAAUAAAAAUAAGCAAGCAAGCUAAAAAAACAAACUGUAUCCACUUAAAAUAAAAAUGUCAACACUAUAUAAAAGUUAUAAAAGAUUUAUACAUCUUAUUGUUUAGUUUGUAAUGGCAAAUUUCAUUUACAGUUUUAGGUUUGUAGAGAGUGGUGGUGUAAACAAUUAGAUCAAGACUAGGGUCCUGACGGGUCCAUUCAAUAACAUGAAUUGUCUUCAUUUUAAACUAUCCAGAUGUUGCUUUUGGCUUUUGGAAUAAUAGCGACAUGGACUUAACACGAUGUGAACA
This is a long non-coding RNA of Trichomycterus rosablanca, 799 nucleotides long. RefSeq lists it as uncharacterized. The record is from RefSeq and is a predicted model, not a curated record. The transcript is spliced from 5 exons. NCBI's taxonomy places the organism in Eukaryota, Metazoa, Chordata, Actinopteri, Siluriformes, Trichomycteridae.